GUGGUGGCUCAGAGGUAGAGUGCUUGCCUGGCACAUGUGAGGCCCUAGGUUCAAUUCUCAGCACCACA
RNAcentral lists this transfer RNA (68 nucleotides) under Marmota monax (woodchuck). Its description in RNAcentral is "tRNA.Ala". Lineage: Eukaryota; Metazoa; Chordata; Mammalia; Rodentia; Sciuridae. The record is from RNAcentral.